GGGGAAUAUUGGACAAUGGGCGCAAGCCUGAUCCAGCCAUGCCGCGUGGGUGAAGAAGGCCUUCGGGUUGUAAAGCCCUUUUGUUGGGAAAGAAAAGCAGCCGGCCAAUACCCGGUUGUUCUGACGGUACCCAAAGAAUAAGCACCGGCUAACUUCGUGCCAGCAGCCGCGGUAAUACGAAGGGUGCAAGCGUUACUCGGAAUUACUGGGCGUAAAGCGUGCGUAGGCGGUUCGUUAAGUCCGUUGUGAAAGCCCUGGGCUCAACCUGGGAAUUGCAGUGGAUACUGGCGAGCUAGAGUACGGUAGAGGAUGGUGGAAUUCCCGGUGUAGCGGUGAAAUGCGUAGAGAUCGGGAGGAACACCCGUGGCGAAGGCGGCCAUCUGGACCAGUACUGACGCUGAGGCACGAAAGCGUGGGGAGCAAACA
This 426-nucleotide ribosomal RNA is filed under the name uncultured Lysobacteraceae bacterium. RNAcentral's name for it is "bacterial SSU rRNA". It matches the Rfam family "Bacterial small subunit ribosomal RNA", at positions 356 to 774 of the family's 1533-position model. Lineage: Bacteria; Pseudomonadati; Pseudomonadota; Gammaproteobacteria; Lysobacterales; Lysobacteraceae. The record is from RNAcentral.